CAAAACUCAGCCCCCAUAUAAUUACCCAAAGAGAGUCAAAGACCCAAUUUUCAAACAAUCAGAUCAUACCUAGCCAGCAAGGUUUUUAAUCGGAGCUCCAACGAGUCACAGCCCAUCAAACACAGACCAUCUUUCGGAUCUUCAAAGGUUUGCUCUGAGGUAAUCUAAAUAUCAGUAGUAGCAGAAAGUAAUUGAUGGCAUAUGAUUUUUUUAUCAUCCAUCCAUCCAUCCAUCAAAUUUCCGACCAUGAUUUCAUUGUUUAAUAAUCCAUCAAAUUUCCGACCAUGUUUAAUAAUCCAUCAAAUUUCCGACCAUGGUUUCACUGUUUAAUAAUAAUCUUCUCAACAAAGAUGCAUGGCACUAAUGUAAUAACUGGUGACGGUGAUGAACUACGUAAUGACACCUUUCCUCACCAGGGAUUUGUUAAUGGAAUGAUAUGGCAAGUGGAGAGAAAGUUUUUUUUUCAGUUGGUGCCUAAAAACAAAGAAGUCAAUGUCAAUAUCGGUGUGAAUCCUUCUCUACAAGAAUAUCACAAAAAUAAUUCAAAGCUCGGAGCAGUUAUGGUCAAAGCAUGAAAUGACUAGUGUUGAGAGCCAUGAAAAUGAGGAAAAAAUGGUGAGGAAAAAAUGGUGGACCUAGUUCAUCAUUUUGGGCUUGUAAAAUAUGGAGUAUCAAAUCAAAAAUAUAAUAUAUUAAAAUUGAAAUAGAUAACUAUUAGGAUUUAUGAGUGUAUAUUUUUAUGGAGAAUGCUAACUACACAACCUUGAGAGCUAUUGUUCUUGUGCACUAAACAAAUUGUAUUUUUCUAUUAAAAGUUCACUAUCUAGAUUUUAUA
Long non-coding RNA from Erigeron canadensis, 835 nucleotides. RefSeq lists it as uncharacterized. The record is from RefSeq and is a predicted model, not a curated record. NCBI's taxonomy places the organism in Eukaryota, Viridiplantae, Streptophyta, Magnoliopsida, Asterales, Asteraceae. The transcript is spliced from 4 exons.